GACGAACGCUGGCGGCGUGCUUAACACAUGCAAGUCGUACGGUAAGGCCCUUUCGGGGGUCCACGAGUGGCGGACGGGUGCGUAACACGUGCGUAACCUGCCCACAACUUUGGGAUAACGAUAGGAAACUGGUGCUAAUACUGGAUAUGUGCUACUGCUGCAUGGUGGGGGUUGGAAAGCUCCGGCGGUUGUGGAUGGACUUGCGGCCUAUCAGCCUGUUGGUGGGGUAGUGGCCUACCAAGGCGGGGAAGGGUAGCCGGCCUGAGAGGGUGACCGGCCACAAUUGGAACGAGGUACCGGCCAGACACCCACGGGAGGGAGGAGUGGGGAAUAUUGCACAAAGGGCGCGAGGCCGAUGCAGCAACGCCACGGGCGGGAUGACGGGCUUCCGGUUGUAAACCGCCUUCAGCAGGGACGAAGCUUUUUGUGACGGUACCUGCAGAAGAAGCACCGGCUAACUACGUG
Molecule: ribosomal RNA, 465 nt
Filed under: uncultured bacterium
Lineage: Bacteria
Description: partial 16S ribosomal RNA
Rfam family: Bacterial small subunit ribosomal RNA
Source: RNAcentral